This 497-nucleotide ribosomal RNA is filed under the name uncultured bacterium. RNAcentral describes it as "partial 16S ribosomal RNA". It matches the Rfam family "Bacterial small subunit ribosomal RNA", at positions 28 to 507 of the family's 1533-position model. The record is from RNAcentral.
GAUGAACGCUGGCGGCGUGCCUAAUACAUGCAAGUCGAGCGAGCAGAUAAGGAGCUUGCUCCUUUGACGUUAGCGGCGGACGGGUGAGUAACACGUGGGUAACCUACCUAUAAGACUGGGAUAACUUCGGGAAACCGGAGCUAAUACCGGAUAAUAUUUCGAACCGCAUGGUUCGAUAGUGAAAGAUGGUUUUGCUAUCACUUAUAGAUGGACCCGCGCCGUAUUAGCUAGUUGGUAAGGUAACGGCUUACCAAGGCGACGAUACGUAGCCGACCUGAGAGGGUGAUCGGCCACACUGGAACUGAGACACGGUCCAGACUCCUACGGGAGGCAGCAGUAGGGAAUCUUCCGCAAUGGGCGAAAGCCUGACGGAGCAACGCCGCGUGAGUGAUGAAGGUCUUCGGAUCGUAAAACUCUGUUAUUAGGGAAGAACAUACGUGUAAGUAACUGUGCACGUCUUGACGGUACCUAAUCAGAAAGCCACGGCUAACUACGUG